RNAcentral lists this ribosomal RNA (1234 nucleotides) under metagenome. RNAcentral's name for it is "bacterial SSU rRNA". It matches the Rfam family "Bacterial small subunit ribosomal RNA", at positions 272 to 1498 of the family's 1533-position model. The record is from RNAcentral.
GGCUCCGAUGGAUAGCCGGCCUGAGAGGGCGAUCGGCCACACUGGGACUGAGAUACGGCCCAGACUCCUACGGGAGGCAGCAGUAGGGAAUAUUGCGCAAUGGACGAAAGUCUGACGCAGCAACGCCGCGUGGGUGAUGAAGCAUCUUGGUGUGUAAAACCCUGUCAGUGGGGAAGAAACUCAUCGGGAAUAACUGCCCGAUGCCUGACGGUACCCACAGAGGAAGCACCGGCUAACUCCGUGCCAGCAGCCGCGGUAAUACGGGGGGUGCAAGCGUUGUUCGGAUUUACUGGGCGUAAAGGGCGCGUAGGCGGACCGUCAAGUCGGAUGUGAAAACUAGCAGCUUAACUGCAAGCCUGCAUUCGAUACUGUAGGUCUUGAGUACAGUAGGGGAAAGCGGAAUUCCAGGUGUAGCGGUGAAAUGCGUAGAUAUCUGGAAGAACACCGGUAGCGAAGGCGGCUUUCUGGACUGAUACUGACGCUGAAGCGCGAAGGCUAGGGUAGCAAACAGGAUUAGAUACCCUGGUAGUCCUAGCGGUAAACGAUGGGUACUAGAUGUCGGGGGUAUCGACCCCCUCGGUGUCGCAGCUAACGCAUUAAGUACCCGCCUGGGGAGUACGAUCGCAAGGUUGAAACUCAAAGGAAUUGACGGGGGCCCGCACAAGCGGUGGAGUAUGUGGUUUAAUUCGAGUCAACGCGAAGAACCUUACCUGGGUUUGACAUGCUUGGGACCGUCUGUGAAAGCAGGCUUUCUCUUCGGAGACCCUUGCACAGGUGCUGCAUGGCUGUCGUCAGCUCGUGCCGUGAGGUGUUGGGUUAAGUCCCGCAACGAGCGCAACCCUUGUCCAUAGUUGCCAUCAGGUAAUGCUGGGGACUCUAUGGAAACUGCCGGUGAUAAGCUGGAGGAAGGUGGGGAUGACGUCAAGUCCUCAUGGCCCUUAUACCCAGGGCUACACACGUACUACAAUGGCCGGUACAGAAGGUGGCAAGACCGCGAGGUGGAGCUAAUCCCCAAAGCCGGCCCCAGUUCGAAUUGGAGUCUGCAACUCGACUCCAUGAAGGCGGAAUCGCUAGUAAUCGCUGAUCAGCAGGCAGCGGUGAAUACGUUCCCGGGCCUUGUACACACCGCCCGUCAAGCCACGGAAGUUGGGAGCACCCGAAGUCGUUUGCCUAACCGCAAGGAAGGCGGCGCCUAAGGUGAAACCGAUGACUGGGGCUAAGUCGUAACAAGGUA